RNAcentral lists this ribosomal RNA (495 nucleotides) under uncultured bacterium. RNAcentral describes it as "partial 16S ribosomal RNA". It matches the Rfam family "Bacterial small subunit ribosomal RNA", at positions 28 to 507 of the family's 1533-position model. The record is from RNAcentral.
GAUGAACGCUGGCGGCGUGCCUAAUACAUGCAAGUAGAACGCUGAAGGAGGAGCUUGCUCUUCUGGAUGAGUUGCGAACGGGUGAGUAACGCGUAGGUAACCUGCCUGGUAGCGGGGGAUAACUAUUGGAAACGAUAGCUAAUACCGCAUGACAACAGUUAUUGCAUGAUAACUGUUUAAAAGGGGCAACUGCUCCACUACCAGAUGGACCUGCGUUGUAUUAGCUAGUUGGUGAGGUAACGGCUCACCAAGGCGACGAUACAUAGCCGACCUGAGAGGGUGAUCGGCCACACUGGGACGGAGACACGGCCCAGACUCCUACGGGAGGCAGCAGUAGGGAAUCUUCGGCAAUGGACGGAAGUCUGACCGAGCAACGCCGCGUGAGUGAAGAAGGUUGUCGGAUCGUAAAGCUCUGUUGUAAGAGAAGAACGAGUGUGAGAGUGGAAAGUUCACACUGUGACGGUAUCUUACCAGAAAGGGACGGCUAACUACGUG